Molecule: ribosomal RNA, 389 nt
Filed under: uncultured bacterium
Lineage: Bacteria
Description: bacterial SSU rRNA
Rfam family: Bacterial small subunit ribosomal RNA
Source: RNAcentral
GACGAACGCUGGCGGCGUGCUUAACACAUGCAAGUCGAGCGGUAAGGCCCUUUCGGGGGUACGACGAGCGGCGAACGGGUGAGUAACACGUGGGUGACCUGCCUUUAGCUCUGGGAUAAGCCUGGGAAACCGGGUCUAAUACCGGAUAUGACUCCGCGGCGCAUGUUGUGGGGUGGAAAGCCUUGUGCGGCUGGAGAUGGGCCCGCGGCCUAUCAGCUUGUUGGUGGGGUGAUGGCCUACCAAGGCGACGACGGGUAGCCGGCCUGAGAGGGCGACCGGCCACACUGGGACUGAGACACGGCCCAGACUCCUACGGGAGGCAGCAGUGGGGAAUCUUGCGCAAUGGGCGAAAGCCUGACGCAGCGACGCCGCGUGAGGGAUGACGGCCU